ACAGGCUCUCUCUUUGCCUGCUGCCAUCCACGUAAAACAUGACUUGCUCCUCCUUGCCUUCUGCCAUGACUGUGAGGCCUCCCCAGCCACAUGGAACUAUCCCAGACUGGUAGAUCCACCAACAGCUUGCACCAUGUGCCUGGGAAAAGCCACAGACAUUCAACAUCAGCCCAUGAAAGUAGCCAGGAGGGAGGCUGUACCCUGCAAAGUCACAGGGGUGGAGCUACCAAGACCAUAGGAACUCACCUCUUGUAUCAGCAUGACCUAGAUGUGAGACAUGGAGUCAAAGGAGUUCAUUUUGGAGCUUUAAGAGUUGACUGCCUGCUGGAUUUCAGACUUGCAUGGGGUCUGUAGCCCCUUUGUUUUAGCUAAUUUCUUCCAUUUUUAAUGGCCGUAUUUACCCAAUGCCUGUACCCCCAUUGUAUCUAGGAAUUAACCAACUUACUUUUAAUUUUACAUGCUCCUAGGCAGAAGGCACUUGCCUUGUCUCAGAUGAGACUUGGGACUGUGGACUUUUCAGUUAAUGCUGAAAUGAAUUAAGACUUUGGGGGACUGCUGGGAAGGCGUGAUUGGCUUCAAAAUGUAAGGAUGUGAGAUUUGGGAGGGCUGGGGGUGGAAUGACAUGGUUUGACUGUGUUGCCACCCAAAUCUCAUCUUGAAUUCCUAUGUGUUAUUGGAGGGACCCAGUGGGAGGUAAUUGAAUCAUGAGGGUGGGUCUUUCCUGUGCUGUUCUCAUGAUAGUAAAUAAGUCUCACAAGAUUUGCUGGUUUUAAAAAUGUGAGUUUCCCUCUCCAAUGUCUCUCUUUGCUUGCUGCCAUCCAUGUAAGAUGUGACUUGCUCCUCCUUGCUUUCCACCAUGCUUGUGAGACCUCCCCAGCCAGGUGGAACUGUAAGUCCAUUAAAUCUCUCUUUUGUAACUUGCCCAGUCAUGGGCAUGUCUUUAUCAGUAGCAUGAAAAUGGACUAACACAAAGUUUAUAAAUAUUUUCUUGUUUGUUUUUCUUAUACAUUUCAUAGUUUUCAGUUUUUAAUUUUAUUGUUUUUAGGUUCAAGGUCAAUUUUGAAUUAAUUUUUGUGUGUGGUAUAAGGAAUGUAGACAAUUCAUUUAUUUGCAUAUGAAUAUUAAAUUGUUCCAUCAUUUGAUGAAAAGUCUGUUUUUGCCAUUGAAUUGUCUUAGCAAUUGUGUCAAAAAUGGUGACUAUAUAUGUGUGCGUCUACCUCUAGAAUCUGUGUUCUGUUUGAUUGUCUAUCUUUUUGCCAUUACCACACAGUGUUGUUACUGUGGUUAAUAGUAACUUUUGAAAUCAGGUUUAAGUCGUCAAACUCUGUUAUUCUUUUUCACAGCCAUUUUAGCUAUUCUACCUCCUUUGC
This 1370-nucleotide long non-coding RNA is filed under the name Homo sapiens (human). The record is from RNAcentral. Lineage: Eukaryota; Metazoa; Chordata; Mammalia; Primates; Hominidae.